Eucalyptus grandis is the source of this 503-nucleotide long non-coding RNA. RefSeq lists it as uncharacterized. The transcript is spliced from 3 exons. Lineage: Eukaryota; Viridiplantae; Streptophyta; Magnoliopsida; Myrtales; Myrtaceae. The record is from RefSeq and is a predicted model, not a curated record.
AUAAAGUGCUCGGAAUUUCUCAAUCAUUUUUUCUCUUUUCUUGGGGGCGUGCGUGUGCGGGCGGCUGCCGUUGCAGCUUGCUUUCUUGUGUUUUGUGGAGAUGGGGAUUGUGUGGCCAGCGCCGAUGGUCACGAGUGCCAAUGCCACCAGGGCUCGGCAAAUAUGUUGGGUUUGCCCGCCUUGCCUUGCGUCCAAAAAUGCAAUUUGGGAGCAGAAUGCGAUGUUGGGUUUGGCCCGCCGGCCACACCACCCCCACCGUCAUCUGUGAAAUCUUCCGCCUCGCCUGGAAAUGAUGCACCGAGUUGUUCCUGGAAUUAUCGGGCGCUCUCAUGGAUGCUUCUUGCAGCUAUAGUCGUCUUGUGGAUUUAGCAUUAGCAAAUGCAAUGAAAUGCAUAUGGAAUUAGGCAUGCAAUAAUUUCAUAUAGGGGGAGUUUAUUAUGCUCCCCACUACCUAAUCUCUUGAACAUUUGAUAGUAUAUUGCUUUCUUUUCUUGAUAAUUAAG